UAGAAGAGUUCACCAACUUUUUAAUGUUUCAUUUCUUCUAUCACUUUAAAUGUGAUAAUUCUGCUUAACCAGUCCAGUUCAAGGCUACAUCAGUGUGUCCCAACAUGUUCAUCCUGGCACACCACCAUGUUCCUUUGUGUGGAGGUGUAGCUUACUUAAAUUAUUUUUUGUUAAAAUGUUUAUUUUUACCUGGAACUGAAAUUAAAGGCUUUUUUAUCUACAGCAAUUUAAACUCUGGUCACCUUUUGGCAAGCAUAUGUCAGAGAAGAGAGGCUGCUGCAUGCACCAAAGCUAACAAUGCCAAGAGAAGUGACCCAUCUGUAGCUUUUCUGAUCUUCUUGGCUUACACUUUCUGUGCUCUCCACAGCUCUCUGCUGCAGAUUAUGAUGUCACACUUUAGACUCAGUGAGGAAUUAAACAAAAUGUUGCGAUUCCAAGUGGAGGUGCAGUGGUCAGCUUUUGAAUCGAUGCCCACACUCAGUCCAUGAACUUCAAAUGAUUUACUGCUCAUUCCUGAAGAGACGCACAGCUCUAAAGAUCUGCCUGGGAUUCCUGCCUGCUCUACGGCCUGGGAGGACUUCUCUCUGUAGCCCUAGUCACUGGAUGGACACACAGAUUCCCAAAUUCUUAGCCCUUAAGGGAAUUGCUCAGCUUGAUUUGGGAAAGUGCAAGCUGAUUGGUGGAAAAACUAAGGAUAACAAGGAUGUGGAUGGUGGAAAAGACGAAAAUAAGGAAUUCCACGAGGAGCUGAGUUUACACGAGUUGCCUCCCAAAAAAUAAAAGUGGGCUGAAGGUAUGGGAGUGCAUUAAAUGGCAGGCAAAGUGGAAGAACAUAUUUGUUUCUUUCUUUUGAAAAUAGGCACUGCUCAUAUAAAGCCUGUGAUGGACACUCAGAGAUAAGUCAUUUCCAUGCAUCCACUCCUUUAACCCAUCGACACAGAUAAGGAGAGCAUCAGAGAAACGUCAUUUGGUCUAAAAAGAAUGACAUAGCUGGGUGUUCUCUGCAUACGAGUGAAAGCUGAUGUGAUGUUUUCGAAAGAUAGUUCCCAUCAUCUUCUUCUUCUUCUUUCGGCUGCUGCCGUUAGGGUCUGCCACAGUGGAUCAUCUGUCUGCAUAU
This is a long non-coding RNA of Polypterus senegalus (gray bichir), 1117 nucleotides long. RefSeq lists it as uncharacterized. The transcript is spliced from 3 exons. The record is from RefSeq and is a predicted model, not a curated record. NCBI's taxonomy places the organism in Eukaryota, Metazoa, Chordata, Cladistia, Polypteriformes, Polypteridae.